This 143-nucleotide microRNA precursor is filed under the name Ovis aries (sheep). Its description in RNAcentral is "miRNA (ENSOARG00000025021.1)". The record is from RNAcentral. Lineage: Eukaryota; Metazoa; Chordata; Mammalia; Artiodactyla; Bovidae.
CCAGCAUUGAAUUAAAAAGCUUGGUCUGAUUUUAAAACAGGGAAUUUUAUAUAGUUAUUCCUUAUUAGUCACCUUUGGCUAUUACAGAGCUUUCUUGAACUUGGAAUGUUUCUCUAGAUUAUAAAAACAUGUGCUUAGUUGCU